AGACUUUGGUCCAGGAUCUUUCUUCCUGUCACCUGCCUGUCUUUCAGGGCCCGGAGCUACAGGCGGCAUGGGAGGAAGGCACACCAGUGCCUGAACACUUUUCACGUCCCAGUGAAAAGUCUCAGAUGGGGAUUCAGAGAAACACUGAGAGGGAUCACUGGGAGUAUGGAGUUUAUUAAAUUCAUUAACAGACCAACCAUGGCAUUGCACACCAACCUGAUCUAUAUAAUGUAGAACUCUCAGCAACUUCUCCAGCACCAUGUCUGCCUGCAUGCCACCAAGCUUCCCAAUAUGAUGAUAAUGGACUGAACCUCUGAAACUGUAAGCCACACCCAAUUAAAUGUUUUCCUUCAUAAGAGUUGCCAUGGUCAUGAUGUCUCCUCACAGCAAUAAAACCCUAAGACAGGCCUGUAAUUCCAGUAUUUGGGAAACUGAAGCCAGG
RNAcentral lists this long non-coding RNA (442 nucleotides) under Cricetulus griseus (Chinese hamster). RNAcentral describes it as "lncRNA (ENSCGRG00015029541.1)". Lineage: Eukaryota; Metazoa; Chordata; Mammalia; Rodentia; Cricetidae. The record is from RNAcentral.